This 484-nucleotide ribosomal RNA is filed under the name uncultured bacterium. RNAcentral describes it as "partial 16S ribosomal RNA". It matches the Rfam family "Bacterial small subunit ribosomal RNA", at positions 30 to 507 of the family's 1533-position model. The record is from RNAcentral.
AUUGAACGCUGGCGGCAGGCCUAACACAUGCAAGUCGAGCGGAUGAAGGGAGCUUGCUCCUGGAUUCAGCGGCGGACGGGUGAGUAAUGCCUAGGAAUCUGCCUGGUAGUGGGGGAUAACGUCCGGAAACGGGCGCUAAUACCGCAUACGUCCUGAGGGAGAAAGUGGGGGAUCUUCGGACCUCACGCUAUCCGAUGAGCCUAGGUCGGAUUAGCUAGUUGGUGGGGUAAAGGCCUACCAAGGCGACGAUCCGUAACUGGUCUGAGAGGAUGAUCAGUCACACUGGAGCUGAGACACGGUCCAGACUCCUACGGGAGGCAGCAGUGGGGAAUAUUGGACAAUGGGCGAAAGCCUGAUCCAGCCAUGCCGCGUGUGUGAAGAAGGUCUUCGGAUUGUAAAGCACUUUAAGUUGGGAGGAAGGGCAGUAAGUUAAUACCUUGCUGUUUUGACGUUACCAACAGAAUAAGCACCGGCUAACUUCGUG